RNAcentral lists this ribosomal RNA (389 nucleotides) under Ehrlichia canis. RNAcentral describes it as "bacterial SSU rRNA". It matches the Rfam family "Bacterial small subunit ribosomal RNA", at positions 64 to 483 of the family's 1533-position model. The record is from RNAcentral. Lineage: Bacteria; Pseudomonadati; Pseudomonadota; Alphaproteobacteria; Rickettsiales; Anaplasmataceae.
CAAUUAUUUAUAGCCUCUGGCUAUAGGAAAUUGUUAGUGGCAGACGGGUGAGUAAUGCGUAGGAAUCUACCUAGUAGUACGGAAUAGCCAUUAGAAAUGGUGGGUAAUACUGUAUAAUCCCCGAGGGGGAAAGAUUUAUCGCUAUUAGAUGAGCCUACGUUAGAUUAGCUAGUUGGUGAGGUAAUGGCUUACCAAGGCUAUGAUCUAUAGCUGGUCUGAGAGGACGAUCAGCCACACUGGAACUGAGAUACGGUCCAGACUCCUACGGGAGGCAGCAGUGGGGAAUAUUGGACAAUGGGCGAAAGCCUGAUCCAGCUAUGCCGCGUGAGUGAAGAAGGCCUUCGGGUUGUAAAACUCUUUCAAUAGGGAAGAUAAUGACGGUACCUAUA